Molecule: ribosomal RNA, 468 nt
Filed under: uncultured bacterium
Lineage: Bacteria
Description: partial 16S ribosomal RNA
Rfam family: Bacterial small subunit ribosomal RNA
Source: RNAcentral
GACGAACGCUGGCGGCGUGCUUAAUACAUGCAAGUCGAACGGAAAGGCCCUGCUUUUGCGGGGUGCUCGAGUGGCGAACGGGUGAGUAACACGCGAGUAAACUGCCCUUGUCUGUGGGAUAACUUCAGGAAACUGGGGCUAAUACCGGAUAGGAGCUCCUGCUGCACGGUGGGGGUUGGAAAGUGUCGGCGGUUGGGGAUGGACUCGCGGCUUACCAGCUUGUUGGUGGGGUAGUGGCUUACCAAGGCUUUGACGGGUAGCCGGCCUGAGAGGGUGACCGGCCUCAUUGGGACUGCGGUACGGCCCAGUCUCCUACGGGCGGCAGCAGUGGGGAAUAUUGCACAAUGGGCGGACGCCUGAUGCAGCAACGCCGCGUGCGGGAUGACGGCCUUCGGGUUGUAAACCGCUUUCGCCUGUGACGAAGCGUGAGUGACGGUAAUGGGUAAGGAAGCACCGGCUAACUACGUG